This 474-nucleotide ribosomal RNA is filed under the name uncultured bacterium. RNAcentral's name for it is "bacterial SSU rRNA". It matches the Rfam family "Bacterial small subunit ribosomal RNA", at positions 30 to 497 of the family's 1533-position model. The record is from RNAcentral.
AUUGAACGCUGGCGGCAUGCCUUACACAUGCAAGUCGAACGGCAGCACGGGAGCAAUCCUGGUGGCGAGUGGCGAACGGGUGAGUAAUAUAUCGGAACGUGCCCAGUCGUGGGGAUAACGUAGCGAAAGUUACGCUAAUACCGCAUACGAUCUAAGGAUGAAAGCGGGGGAUCGCAAGACCUCGCGCGAUUGGAGCGGCCGAUAUCAGAUUAGGUAGUUGGUGAGGUAAAGGCUCACCAAGCCAACGAUCUGUAGCUGGUCUGAGAGGACGACCAGCCACACUGGAACUGAGACACGGUCCAGACUCCUACGGGAGGCAGCAGUGGGGAAUUUUGGGACAAAUGGACGCAAGUCUGAUCCAGCCAUUCCGCGUGCAGGAUGAAGGCCCUCGGGUUGUAAACUGCUUUGUACGGAACGAAAAGGUUUGUCUUAAUACGAUGAGNUCAUGACGGUACCGUAAGAAUAAGACACCGG